This 254-nucleotide ribosomal RNA is filed under the name uncultured prokaryote. RNAcentral describes it as "partial 16S ribosomal RNA". It matches the Rfam family "Bacterial small subunit ribosomal RNA", at positions 524 to 777 of the family's 1533-position model. The record is from RNAcentral.
UACGUAGGGGGCAAGCGUUGUCCGGAUUUAUUGGGCGUAAAGAGCGUGUAGGCGGCCAGGUAGGUCCGUUGUGAAAACUCGAGGCUCAACCUCGAGACGUCGAUGGAAACCAUCUGGCUAGAGUCCGGAAGAGGAGAGUGGAAUUCCUGGUGUAGCGGUGAAAUGCGCAGAUAUCAGGAAGAACACCUAUGGCGAAGGCAGCUCUCUGGGACGGUACUGACGCUGAGACGCGAAAGCGUGGGGAGCGAACAGGA